Tursiops truncatus (common bottlenose dolphin) is the source of this 164-nucleotide small nuclear RNA. Its record names the gene U1. It matches the Rfam family "U1 spliceosomal RNA". From Rfam's summary of the family: U1 is a small nuclear RNA (snRNA) component of the spliceosome (involved in pre-mRNA splicing). Its 5' end forms complementary base pairs with the 5' splice junction, thus defining the 5' donor site of an intron. The record is from Ensembl. NCBI's taxonomy places the organism in Eukaryota, Metazoa, Chordata, Mammalia, Artiodactyla, Delphinidae.
AUACUUACCUGGCAGAGGAGAUACCAUGAUCACGAAGGUGGUUUUCCCAGGGUGAGGCUUAUUCAUUGCACUUCGGAUUUGCUGACCCCUGCGAUUUCCCCAAAUGUGGGAAACUCGACUGCAAAAUUUGUGGUAGUGGGGGACUGCGUUCGCGCUUUCCCCUG